This 897-nucleotide ribosomal RNA is filed under the name Triticum aestivum (bread wheat). RNAcentral describes it as "partial small subunit ribosomal RNA". The record is from RNAcentral. Lineage: Eukaryota; Viridiplantae; Streptophyta; Magnoliopsida; Poales; Poaceae.
AUGAAGCCUAGCGAAGAAUCUGGGCAUUGGUGCUUGAUUGUUCUGAAUUUGAGGUUCCAUCGUUUCGAGUGUCUUGAUUCACUCCGUGAUGAAACCUGGGGUGAUGCAGUUAGAUUCUUAAGGAAUAUGAUAGAUAAUAUAAAGAAGCUUUGGAGGGAGUCGAGUGUAGACAGGGCCAAGCCGUUCUCGCCGGUGCAUAUUGAUGGUUUCUCUUGCGAGUUUGUGCGAGUGCCGCGGCAGACCUAUCAUUCCCGGGAUGAAAUGUUGGAUUACAGCGAUGAAGACAUUUUGGACAUUAGGAAGACUUUGUUGUAUACCUGCGCAACUAGCGAUGUGUUUGAUGUUGACUUCCGGGGUGAGUGGCUGGAUCUUGGUGCGCAUGACUACAGGUUCUUUGGCAGCCAGUUCUUGGAGCUCGAGUGCGUAGCUAUUGAUCUUAGCCAGGGGCUUUCUCCCGAAAAGACAAGAUCUGGUGUUAUGAAGGGGUGGUUGGGAUCUCUGAAAGGUUCUACGGCUGCUUGUGCAGAGAGCCCCACUACACCCAAGAAUCCCAUUGUGGAAUUGAUAGACAGCGAUGAUGAUGUGUUGGAAAAGAUUGCUGGCAUGGGAAGAGUCACGAGGAGCGCUGCUGCCAAAGGUUUAUCUCCCCUUGCUGGAAUAGUGCCUCAUAGAGCUGGUGGUGCUAGGAAGGAUCCUGCUUUGGAUUCUCGCAAUGUUCAGCUUCACCCUCAUAAAUUCUCUCACCUGGACAAGGCUCGCAAGUUGUAUAAUCUAUUGCUUAGUGAUGAAUGGCGUGAGAAGUAUGCCGAGAAUACAUUCUCAAUGAUACCUCAGCCUGGUGAUAACGUAACUAGCUUCACUGGGAAACGCAUCAGGGAAGUUUUUGCACCUAGGUAA